Molecule: ribosomal RNA, 458 nt
Filed under: uncultured organism
Description: bacterial SSU rRNA
Rfam family: Bacterial small subunit ribosomal RNA
Source: RNAcentral
UGCAGUCGACGCGAAGCACCUUCGGGUGUGAGUAGAGUGGCGGACGGGUGAGUAAUACUUGGGAAUCUGCCUAGUAGUGGGGGAUAACUCGGGGAAACUCGAGCUAAUACCGCAUACGCCCUACGGGGGAAAGAUUUAUCGCUAUUAGAUGAGCCCAAGUCAGAUUAGCUAGUUGGUAGGGUAAUGGCCUACCAAGGCGACGAUCUGUAGCUGGUCUGAGAGGACGAACAGCCACACUGGGACUGAGACACGGCCCAGACUCCUACGGGAGGCAGCAGUGGGGAAUAUUGGACAAUGGGCGAAAGCCUGAUCCAGCAAUGCCGCGUGUGUGAAGAAGGCCUGCGGGUUGUAAAGCACUUUCAAUCGUGAAGAAAAGCUCAGGGUUAAUAACCCUGGGUCUUGACAUUAUCGAUACAAGAAGCACCGGCUAACUCCGUGCCAGCAGCCGCGGUAAUACG